GUAUUUCAAAGUAUUUCUACUAAAAUAAUAUGAAACAACACAAUUGUUAUUUUGUUCUAAACAUUUUCGUUCGAUAUGGGUGGAAAUUUGAUGAAAAUAGAAAUAUAUUUUACUACCGUUGAAACCAUGAAGUUGCAUAGAAUUGUUUUAGAGUGCCUUUUGUUUUGUUUGUUGUGAAUUGAAAAAUGAAAAUUGUGCGGAAACAAGAAUUGUGCGGAACAAGUGGCCUGUUUUACAUCCGGAAUUCAUUGAGUGGGUUGUUGCAGUAAUCCAAAAAUGGAACCAUCAAACCCGGAUGUCCCCACACUGAGACAGCAAGAAAUUAGAACGGCAAAAGCGGUAAUGGAUAAACCGAAAAAGGAAUUACGUGUACGGCAACAUAUCGAAAAUAUCGAAACUUUCCAGUAUAUUAUGGUAAUGUAAAUAAAUAUGCAUAAAAAUUA
Long non-coding RNA from Aedes aegypti (yellow fever mosquito), 443 nucleotides. RefSeq lists it as uncharacterized. The record is from RefSeq and is a predicted model, not a curated record. NCBI's taxonomy places the organism in Eukaryota, Metazoa, Arthropoda, Insecta, Diptera, Culicidae. The transcript has 2 exons.